Molecule: transfer RNA, 78 nt
Filed under: Bacillota bacterium
Lineage: Bacteria; Bacillati; Bacillota
Also listed under: 1 other name
Description: tRNA-Pro
Rfam family: tRNA
About the family: Transfer RNA (tRNA) molecules are approximately 80 nucleotides in length.
Source: RNAcentral
CGGGAUGUAGCGCAGUUUGGUUAGCGCGCCGUGUUCGGGACGCGGAGGUCGGAGGUUCGAAUCCUCUCAUCCCGACCA